Long non-coding RNA from Limulus polyphemus (Atlantic horseshoe crab), 2156 nucleotides. RefSeq lists it as uncharacterized. The transcript is spliced from 4 exons. Lineage: Eukaryota; Metazoa; Arthropoda; Merostomata; Xiphosura; Limulidae. The record is from RefSeq and is a predicted model, not a curated record.
AGAAAUACAUAACAAUACCUUAUAGCAAGCCUAUAGAUAUUGGAAGAUAACAUAUAUAUUAUGUUCUAAUUAAAAUUUGAUCAUUAAAUUUUAUGGUUGCACUGAUCAUGGUAUUUUUCAAACUUAAAUGAUAUAUUUUACAAAACCAAAUGGUAUAAUAAGCAUCAGCUCCAUCGGGUAAAAGUGAUACUUGAAAUUUUCAACGGCCUCACUUCUUACUGACUAAUUGUGUUUGUACAGAUGAAUCAAGAUGAAGAUGGUGCACUGACUGUAAUUUGUAAUGUAGGCACAACUCCCCUUGUCCCCAUUCUUCAUUACCCCAUCUGCUAGUAUGACACCCCAGCAGCAGACAUCAUUCUCAGCCCACCAACAGUCAAAGUCCACACUUCACCAGCAACCACUGGCUGCAAAAGCACAAGAGAAUAAGCAUUCAGUAUAGUUUAUUUUAUAAGCAGUAAUUUACGAUUAAAAUUUUGUAUUUCUGCCAACAGUAUGUAGUUUGAACACUUUCAAAUAUUGUUUGACCAAUUAUCAAAUAGGCAUUUUCAUAAACAAACUAUCAGAUGAGUGUGCUGAUGAAGUUGGACCACAUCUUGAACAAUUAACAGUAACAGACAGGCUUGCUUUGCCAAAUGGCAAGUAGAGGAAUAAAUGGAGGGGAUGGUAACUGUACAGUAGAGGAUGUGCUUCCAUUUGACACUGUCAUGAUUUAAAAGACAGUUUAGUGUUAGGUUCAUGAGCUCCCAAAAUUGUGGGGAAACAGUCCAGCGAAUUAUGCCAAAGAUAGGCAUUUACAGGUUGUGGUUUGCUUACAACCUGAUGGGCAAAAAACAAAAGACACAACAAUAACAAAAAAAUCUUCUACUCUUCAAAUGAAUUAAGAAAGCUUGCCUUCAGACCCAUCCAAAAGUAAAGGAAAACACUAUUGAGGACCAGGUGACAGAACUUCUGAAACAUGCUCCCAAUAACCUGGCUUUUCUCUUGGAGUAUCACUACACCACUUUGUUCUUUUGUAUAGCUUCAGGCAAUUUCAGAUUUCUGCAGUCUUAGGACGAGAUUCUGGUCAUGUGCUGCAUUUCUUUCUAUAGGCAUCAUUAAUUAUGUAUCUCUCAUACCUUGCUAUAGCCACAAGCAAAUCUGGUCAGUAUGAGAUGGUGUCCAGGAUGGUCACCAUCUAUUUCAGAUAUGUAUACAUUCUGUCUCAGGCCAUUCAUACAUUUCCACCUUGACACAUCUUAACAAUCCAGAUAAUCAAUGGAAAUUGGACAAGUAAAUCAGCUAACUACCCCUUACUAUCUUUCUGCUCGUGCUCAUGAAAUGGGAUUCAGAAUUGUUAUAUCUCUCACUGAUACCAGUAAGAGAGACACUGGUCCAUGAGAAGAUUUUUUCAAAUUCUUCACGCACACUAACAUAUCUUGAUUUUAGUUAAAUUUCUAGGUUCCUCCUCCCCACUAUCACUUAGAUGAUUUGGCAUUUGCCUUGUGGUUAGGGCACUCAACUCGCAAUCUUUGGGCAACAAGUUCAAAUCUUAUCACCAAACAUGUUUGCCCUUUCAGCCAUGAGGGCAUUCAUAUUACAGUUGAUCGCAUUAUUCGUUAUUAAAGAGUAGCCCAAACAUUGGCAUUGGUUGGUGUUGACUAGCUGUCUUCCCUCUAAUCUAUCACUUCAAAAUUAGCCCUGUAAUAGCUUUACACAAAAUUCAACAAACAAAUUAUUGCUUCACUUAUUGUAUUCAGAUACAUUGAUUGCAUUCUGAUUUCAAUGACAAUAAUUAAAUACUAGAAGAUCUACAUGAAAAUGUUUAAACAUUUUCCUCAUUAUAACAAUAUAGUCUCUUAUUAUCAUAGCUGUAAGAUAAAAGUACCAUGAUAUCUGAUUAACUACUUAAUUAAAUUAUAUAUAUAUAUAUAUAUAUAAAGUGCCAAAUGUUGCAACCAGUUUUGAAUAAUUAACCUUACUGCUAUAGUGAAGAUGAAAAUAGUAACUUUCUAUUUAUACAUACAGAAAGUAAUGUUUUAUCAUUUUUACUUUCUGAAAGUAAAGUAGGACUUUCCAAUUCCUGAUGUGAAGCCUGCAUUAGGACCAAAAACAUCAUCAUACACUCUUCUUCAGAUUGUAAAAGUGUUAAUUUUUAAAUAAACGUUGUUUCUUACUUA